Molecule: non-coding RNA, 135 nt
Organism: Triticum aestivum (bread wheat)
Lineage: Eukaryota; Viridiplantae; Streptophyta; Magnoliopsida; Poales; Poaceae
Source: Rfam
GAUGUACUCCCUCCGUCCCAAAAUACUUGUCACCAAAAUGAAUAAAAAGAGAUGUAUCUAGAACUAAAAUACGUCUAGAUACAUCCUCUUUUAUCCAUUUUGAUGACAAGUAUUUCCGGACGGAGGGAGUACCAA